GUGGGGAAUAUUGGACAAUGGGCGCAAGCCUGAUCCAGCCAUGCCGCGUGAGUGAUGAAGGCCCUAGGGUUGUAAAGCUCUUUCAGUGGGGACGAUAAUGACGGUACCCACAGAAGAAGCCCCGGCUAACUUCGUGCCAGCAGCCGCGGUAAUACGAAGGGGGCUAGCGUUGUUCGGAUUUACUGGGCGUAAAGCGCACGUAGGCGGAUCGUUAAGUCGAGGGUGAAAUCCUUGAGCUCAACUCCAGAACUGCCUUCGAUACUGGCGAUCUUGAGUCCGGAAGAGGUGAGUGGAACUCCUAGUGUAGAGGUGGAAUUCGUAGAUAUUAGGAAGAACACCAGUGGCGAAGGCGGCUCACUGGUCCGGUACUGACGCUGAGGUGCGAAAGCGUGGGGAGCAAACAGGAUUAGAAACCCUUGUAGUCC
This 425-nucleotide ribosomal RNA is filed under the name uncultured bacterium. Its description in RNAcentral is "bacterial SSU rRNA". It matches the Rfam family "Bacterial small subunit ribosomal RNA", at positions 354 to 796 of the family's 1533-position model. The record is from RNAcentral.